Molecule: ribosomal RNA, 782 nt
Filed under: Edwardsiella tarda
Lineage: Bacteria; Pseudomonadati; Pseudomonadota; Gammaproteobacteria; Enterobacterales; Hafniaceae
Description: bacterial SSU rRNA
Rfam family: Bacterial small subunit ribosomal RNA
Source: RNAcentral
AGUUUGAUUAUGGCUCAGAUUGAACGCUGGGCGGCAGGCUUAACACAUGCAAGUCGAGCGGUAGCAGGGAGAAAGCUUGCUUUCUCCGCUGACGAGCGGCGGACGGGUGAGUAAUGUCUGGGGAUCUGCCUGAUGGAGGGGGAUAACUACUGGAAACGGUAGCUAAUACCGCAUAACGUCGCAAGACCAAAGUGGGGGACCUUCGGGCCUCAUGCCAUCAGAUGAACCCAGAUGGGAUUAGCUAGUAGGUGAGGUAAUGGCUCACCUAGGCGACGAUCCCUAGCUGGUCUGAGAGGAUGACCAGCCACACUGGAACUGAGACACGGUCCAGACUCCUACGGGAGGCAGCAGUGGGGAAUAUUGCACAAUGGGCGCAAGCCUGAUGCAGCCAUGCCGCGUGUAUGAAGAAGGCCUUCGGGUUGUAAAGUACUUUCAGUAGGGAGGAAGGUGUGCGUGUUAAUAGCACGUGCAAUUGACGUUACCUACAGAAGAAGCACCGGCUAACUCCGUGCCAGCAGCCGCGGUAAUACGGAGGGUGCAAGCGUUAAUCGGAAUUACUGGGCGUAAAGCGCACGCAGGCGGUUUGUUAAGUUGGAUGUGAAAUCCCCGGGCUUAACCUGGGAACUGCAUCCAAGACUGGCAAGCUAGAGUCUCGUAGAGGGAGGUAGAAUUCCAGGUGUAGCGGUGAAAUGCGUAGAGAUCUGGAAAAAUACCGGUGGCGAAGGCGGCCUCCUGGACGAAGACUGACGCUCAGGUGCGAAAGCGUGGGGAGCAAACAGGAU